Molecule: ribosomal RNA, 693 nt
Filed under: Triticum aestivum (bread wheat)
Lineage: Eukaryota; Viridiplantae; Streptophyta; Magnoliopsida; Poales; Poaceae
Description: partial small subunit ribosomal RNA
Source: RNAcentral
AUGACGCCGGCCUCCACGGCUCCGGCCCCCCGCGUCGCCCCGCAACGGCCGACCUCCAAGGCCCCGGCCCCUGCGCCGCCCCGCAACGGCUGGCCCCUGCCCUCCCCGUCGCGACCCUCCCUAAUCCCGCGAGAUCCGCGACAUGUCGAGCUGCCACCAUCAGAUCCCCCCACCGCGCCCCUUCUUCCUCAAUCUGGUCCGUCCCGGGGCGAGGACGGGCUCUGCUACGCCGUGAACGAGGUAACUCCACGGGCGGGGUCGGCGAGCAGAGUUGGUGCUGAAGAUCUGGCUGUUGCCGGGCUUUUCUCGUCGGAUCCAAUCGCUGUCAGACAGAUCCGCUGCAGCGCGCCGGCUGGCCGCCUUCCGCAGCCUCGCCGCAUCCUGCAUCGACCGGAGAAACCCCUUCGUGCUCCCAUCUUCCUCCCCCUACACCAGCGUUGGUGUUUUGGUGCCUCCCCCGUGCAACUCCGUUGUUGCCACAAUGAAGUUCAGCUGGCUCACUGUUGUAGCACGUCACCAGCGGUGCACACUCUGCACGCAUGUUGUCCACUUGGCGAUUGUGCAUUUCGGUGUUUACAUGCAGGUCAUAAGUUUGGUGCGGCGAGCUCUUAUAGUUCGGGGCGGCACUGGCCGAUGGAGCGCCACCACACCUGCGCCACCCCUUCAACCUCCUCCAGGGCCGCCUGGCCCUGA